RNAcentral lists this ribosomal RNA (865 nucleotides) under Brachybacterium sp. enrichment culture clone WW1_3-1. RNAcentral describes it as "bacterial SSU rRNA". It matches the Rfam family "Bacterial small subunit ribosomal RNA", at positions 616 to 1479 of the family's 1533-position model. Lineage: Bacteria; Bacillati; Actinomycetota; Actinomycetes; Micrococcales; Dermabacteraceae. The record is from RNAcentral.
CGGGCGUGCGGUGGGUACGGGCAGGCUAGAGUGUGGUANGGGAGACUGGAACUCCUGGUGUAGCGGUGAAAUGCGCAGAUAUCAGGAAGAACACCGAUGGCGAAGGCAGGUCUCUGGGCCAUUACUGACACUGAGAAGCGAAAGCAUGGGGAGCGAACAGGAUUAGAUACCCUGGUAGUCCAUGCCGUAAACGUUGGGCACUAGGUGUGGGGGACAUUCCACGUUCUCCGCGCCGUAGCUAACGCAUUAAGUGCCCCGCCUGGGGAGUACGGCCGCAAGGCUAAAACUCAAAGGAAUUGACGGGGGCCCGCACAAGCGGCGGAGCAUGCGGAUUAAUUCGAUGCAACGCGAAGAACCUUACCAAGGCUUGACAUGCACCGGACAGCCCCAGAGAUGGGGUCUUCUUCGGACUGGUGCACAGGUGGUGCAUGGUUGUCGUCAGCUCGUGUCGUGAGAUGUUGGGUUAAGUCCCGCAACGAGCGCAACCCUCGUUCCAUGUUGCCAGCGCGUUAUGGCGGGGACUCAUGGGAGACUGCCGGGGUCAACUCGGAGGAAGGUUGGGACGACGUCAAAUCAUCAUGCCCCUUAUGUCUUGGGCUUCACGCAUGCUACAAUGGCCGGUACAAAGGGUUGCGAUACUGUGAGGUGGAGCGAAUCCCAAAAAGCCGGUCUCAGUUCGGAUUGGGGUCUGCAACUCGACCCCAUGAAGUCGGAGUCGCUAGUAAUCGCAGAUCAGCAACGCUGCGGUGAAUACGUUCCCGGGCCUUGUACACACCGCCCGUCAAGUCACGAAAGUCGGUAACACCCGAAGCCAGUGGCCCAUCCCUUGUGGGGGGAGCUGUCGUAGGUGGGAUCGGUGAUUGGG